Molecule: ribosomal RNA, 253 nt
Filed under: uncultured bacterium
Lineage: Bacteria
Description: partial 16S ribosomal RNA
Rfam family: Bacterial small subunit ribosomal RNA
Source: RNAcentral
UACGUAGGGGGCGAGCGUUGUCCGGAAUUACUGGGCGUAAAGGGCGCGUAGGCGGUUCGUUAAGUUAGAUGUGAAACCCCCGGGCUUAACCCGGGGCAUGCAUCUAAAACUGGCAGACUUGAGUGCAGGAGAGGGAAGCGGAAUUCCUAGUGUAGCGGUGAAAUGCGUAGAUAUUAGGAGGAACACCAGUGGCGAAGGCGGCUUUCUGGACUGUAACUGACGCUGAGGCGCGAAAGCGUGGGGAGCAAACAGG